AGCCAGGAAGCAUAGAAACUGAGAAGUGGUCUGUGGUCCCAACCUGCAGAACCACUCCUUUAUUGGGGGUGUCUUGCUAAUUGCCUAUAAUUUGCACCUGUUGUCUAUUCCAUUUGCACAACAGCAUGUGAAAUUUAUUGUCAGUGUUGCUUCCUAAGUGGACAGUUUGAUUUCACAGAAGUGUGAUUUGACUUGGAGUUACAAUGUGUUGUUUAAGUGUUCCCUUUAUUUUUUUGAGCGGUGUAACUCUAACUCAUUGUAUUAGCCUAACCUUUGAUCCUUUGUGGUAAUAGUCUGAGGCUUUUGAAUGACCUUAACACCGAGUUAACGUCAGUCUCUGGCUGAGGUAAAGAAUCGUCAUUUGGUUCUGUGUGGUAUACACAGCCUAGUAUGCUCACUAAAUUCCCCUAGUUAUUUGUCUAAACUUCCAUUGACACUUGAAUUAUACAUUCAAAUGUAAUCUGGACGGCAUCCAGUGGUAGUUUGUGGUGUCUUUUCUCCAUCAGACUCUCCUUCACCUGAAACAAAGGAUUGAUUGUGAUCUGAAUAUAUGUAACAAUGUACCUGCCAAGUGGUCAUGGAGAGAAUCUUAACCCAUAUCAAAUGCAUGAAGUAAUCCUCACUCUGUCCUCACAAACGGCUGAAUCCUACCUUGAGCUAUGUGAGCUCAUGGCCUCUAACACGGAAAUAAAGUGUUGAAUGUGUUGAAAUGUAACACUUGUUUCUUCACCAGCAAGCCAAGCCACUAACACCACCUCAUUCUUUCACUACAUUAUUUGAUUUGUUUUAUCCAACAUCCGUAUUCUGUAUUAGUAAUUGUUAAAUCUGUGUGUUCUCUAUCACUUUUAUGUAACCGAUCGUGUACCUGACGCCACUCAUACAACCCCAGACACCAACAACAAUGCUGGCAAAAUAGUAGGCAGUGUUGGAGGUGUACUUGUGCCAAGUCUUCUACUUUACCUCAGUCUCCUCCUGCUUCAUUGAGAAGGAAGGAGUCACAGUAAAAUGGCUGCUGUGAUGUCCCCUGAAUCUACCACCCACCCAAACAUCGGGAAUGGUUCAUAUACUUUAAUAGGAAUCUCUAUUACACGAUGAUUAGAAACCUCCCGAUGAAGAAUGUAUUGGUUCACUUCCAUUUGGAAGCUUGUGCUUAAGGAGUGACCUAACUUGAUUACUUGUCUGUUUCCAGUGUACUUCACAAAUCACUCCUAGUCUGACCCUGAUUUAACUCAUUGCAACAUUCUCAUGUUAAAAUUCACCCAUAUGUAGGGUCGCUGCUUUUCUGGGUGAACUUGCCUCACAAAGCCAAUUUUGCCACCUCUGGGGGGGGGGGGGGGGGGGAUAAAUUGAAGGAAAUCAUAUCUGUUAAGAUAAACAAAACAUUUGUAAUUUAGUUGAUGCUCUUAUCCAGAGCAACUUACAGUAGUGAGUGCAUCCAUUUUCAUACAAGACCCACAAGGUGUUUAUGUGUAAGUCAACCACUGUAAACCACUGGUUUGUUAGACCAGGUUGCAGAUGUGUUGAACCUGUCCUAUAGCUCAUGAACAUCUGGUUCAAUGAGAAUCAAUGGGCUUUCACCAAGUUUCGCUCUAGUCAUUGAUAAGUCUUAAUUGUGUUAUUGUGACGUGAAUCUGAAAAGCUUGGAUUUAUUUGGAUAACUCUUGGAACACCGGAGACAAUGAAUGCUGAAGGAAUUGCUGCUUUAUACUUGUUUUGUAAAGUGCUAGUUCUUUGAGGGAUCAAGGACUCUUGCUCAUGAUCCAGCUUUGGAGUCUUUAUUUGCACUAAUAUUUUGCAGUUCUCUUUUACAGGCUGUCCUAAUGAAAGUAACAGAUUUAAUAUGUUGUGUGAGAACUAAUAGCACUUGUUUUCAUAACACUAGGAGUUGCUUCAUAUAUGAAACCAGGUUCUUAUUUAGUAGGGCAAGUUUAGAAUGUUGCAAAUAAAAGUAUAAUCAAUAUUGGA
Long non-coding RNA from Oncorhynchus masou masou (cherry salmon), 1965 nucleotides. RefSeq lists it as uncharacterized. The transcript is spliced from 3 exons. NCBI's taxonomy places the organism in Eukaryota, Metazoa, Chordata, Actinopteri, Salmoniformes, Salmonidae. The record is from RefSeq and is a predicted model, not a curated record.